Molecule: small nuclear RNA, 157 nt
Filed under: Scedosporium apiospermum
Lineage: Eukaryota; Fungi; Ascomycota; Sordariomycetes; Microascales; Microascaceae
Source: RNAcentral
GCCUUCGGGCAUUUGGUCAAUUUGCAAAAAUACAGAGAAGGUAAAUAUCUCCCAGAUGAAUUCCCUCCUUACAGCGAUAUACUAACUAAGUCCUACAGAUUAGCAUGGUCCCUGCACAAGGAUGACACGCUCAAUCAAAGAGAAGCUACCAAUUUUU